UUUUUUUUUUUUUUUUUUUAAUCCAAGAAAGGUACAAGAUAAAGUCAAGGAAAUUUCCCAAAGAAUAAAACUGAGAAAGAAAAAUUGAUUUUUUUAAAAAGAUAGGAAAAGAUAAUCCAGAAGGCCUAAUAGCUAACUAAUAAAGAGAGAAACCCACAACAGCUAAGAUGAAACUAAAGAAAUCAAACUUUUAGCACAAAAAAUAUCAGUUUUCAACAUGAAAUUAGUUCCACUCCAAGGCACAUUGUCAUGAAUUUCAAAAAUCCUGAGAGGUUCUUGUGAAGAAAACACAAAACGAAACAGAACAGAGAAGUAAAAGGAGAAUCAGGUGGCAUUGAACUGGUGCUUUCACAAUCAUCGAGAAGGAGGAAGAAGUGCAACCCAGGAACAAGAAAUCCAACGGAGAAAAGCAGAGGCAGGGAGAGUCAGAGGGCCAGCACAUAGAUGGGAGCAGAAGGGUGGACAGAAGGGUAAAAGCGUGUGAGCACAACAUACAUGAUGCAGGUCUCAAGUAUUUUCAUCAUUUUGUGCAUUUGAAAUUUGAAAUAGUCAUUAAUAAUCUAGAAUCUAUGGAAAUUAAUUUCUGCUAAAAAAUUGAAAACCUAGAAAGCAACAUUUAUAUAUAAUCAUGAUUUAAACAUCAUGUUGAUUUCCCUAAAAUAAGUUGAAUCAAUGCAUUGAGAAGAGAGUGGAAAGGAAGUCCUGUGAUUAGUGUGCCUGUCCUUCAUCCUACGUAAGUAUCAUAGUAAGAAGUUAAUAGAUGAGGUUGAAAAUUAAUUGAGAUAAUAUAAACAUGUUAAAUUAAAAAUAAGGUGGUUACCAACAGAUGACACUUGAACUUUGUUCUCUCUUCAAUGUGACUAUUGCGUAGAGAGAUGUGGAGCAGGCUGUUGUGAUUCUGUUGCUCUUGCAAGUCUCAUAAUACAAUUUGAUUGCUAGAUCAUGAGUUUCUAUUUUUAAGAAUCAAAGCAAUUCCAAGAAGUAGAACACUUUGUAGUGCUCUAAAACUGCUUCAACUAUUUUAAAAAUAGAGUACACUGAUCAUUAUACAGAGAGGGCCCCUGCCCAAAUAUUUUCUAUAAAAUUUUUUUAAAAAGAAAUAUUUGUUCAGUGUUACAUAUGACAUGCAUUUGAAAGGAAAACCAUCUCCCAACAGUAUUAAUUUCAAAGAGCCCAGAAGAUGCUUUUGUAGUUUUUGUGUCUCUCAAAAUAAUUGCUUUAAAAAGUUAAGAUUCACUGAGAGAAAUGUGAAGCUAGAGUUUUGUAGCUUUCCAUACAAGGGUAGGAACACCAUAGAUUCCUCUAACCUUUGUAAAACCAGUUGUUUCUAAUGUUAAAAAUAUAUUUGAAACUGAAGCACAUCCUAGUCCUGCUGUCAACUCCCACCCAGAGUAGAUGCUAAUGAUCUCCACUACUAAUGAUAAAACGUCAAUUUCCAUAGGUCUAAUACGUUCACAAUAAUUUCCACAUUCCCAGUACUGAGUAGCAAUAUCUUUGGCUUCAGCAACUGGUAUUUACUGGUCUGUACUCCAGAUGGUGGUAUUUAACUGUUAUAGCAUAUUGCAAUAACAAUGAAAAAAGUACUUCAUCUUCUAUCUAAGAUAUAAUAAGAAAUUUAAUGUAAAGAUCACUUGUUCUUUCAUAUAAAAGAACAACUGCUCAAGUGAUACUUAAAAUGUGCAUAAGUUAUUUUCAUUAAGAUUUUUAAAAAUUGUCUUAAGAGGCAUUUUUGUAUAUUUACCAUCUACUAUUAUUAAGGUCCGAGUUUAAUAAUCUAAUCUAGAGCAUCUGUCAUAGCUCUAUGGGAACUGCUGAUGUUUUUUGUGUUUGAAGUCUCAUAUUUGGUAUAAAACACUGAAGGAGAUUCUAUAUUAUAUAAUGGAUACUUGAAGGAGAUUAAUUUACCUUUUGAACAACCAGAAAGUUAGCUGCUUCACCUCACACUAUUUUUUUAAAAAAGCAUUAUUUUAAUUUUUUUAUUAUUACAUAGAAAUAUUGUGUUUUCUCUUUUCAGUUCUCAUUUCCCCAUUCCACAAAUAUCCAGCAGGUGACAACACUAACCACAUUUUUUUAAGAACAUGCUUUCAGAGCUCCUGGAUGGCUCAGUCAACGAAGUGUCUAGCUCCUGAUUUCAGCUCAGGUCGCGAGAUCAUGGUUGUGAGUUUGAGACUUGCCUGGUUCCACGUGGAGUCCACCUGGGAUACCCUCUCUCCCUCUCCCACUGCCCCUACCCUCCUUCAAUAUGAAUAAAUCUUUAAAAAAGAUAAUGAUUACUGAAUCAUACAGUAUCAUAAAAUUUGCAUUUUAACCUAUACCUUUUCAGUAUCAUGUCAUCAUGAACUUGAGUUUCUGUUUAGUAUAAAUGGUAAAAGUUUUUGUAAUAUACCAAGAUUAAUUUUGAUAAUUCCAAGUACUGUUGAUUUGUAACCUUGAGACCAAUAAUAUUUUCUCUGGAAAUUAAAUGUAUUUAAAAGUUGUAAGAAAAAGUUUUAAGUUUUGUAUUUUAUAUGCUUUAGGAGGUAAGUUUUGCUUAAAAACUCACACUGCUC
Molecule: long non-coding RNA, 2549 nt
Filed under: Canis lupus familiaris (dog)
Lineage: Eukaryota; Metazoa; Chordata; Mammalia; Carnivora; Canidae
Description: lncRNA (ENSCAFG00000053929.1)
Source: RNAcentral